AGUGAACGCUGGCGGUAGGCCUAACACAUGCCAGUCGAACGGCAGCACAGUAAGAGCUUGCUCUUACGGGUGGCGAGUGGCGGACGGGUGAGGAAUACAUCGGAAUCUACUUUUUCGUGGGGGAUAACGUAGGGAAACUUACGCUAAUACCGCAUACGACCUACGGGUGAAAGCAGGGGAUCUUCGGACCUUGCGCGAUUGAAUGAGCCGAUGUCGGAUUAGCUAGUUGGCGGGGUAAAGGCCCACCAAGGCGACGAUCCGUAGCUGGUCUGAGAGGAUGAUCAGCCACACUGGAACUGAGACACGGUCCAGAAUCCUACGGGAGGCAGCAGUGGGGAAUAUUGGACAAUGGGCGCAAGCCUGAUCCAGCCAUACCGCGUGGGUGAAGGAGGCCUUCGGGUUGUAAAGCCCUUUUGUUGGGAAAGAAAAGCAGCAGGUUAAUACCCCGCUGUUCUGACGGUACCCAAAGAAUAAGCACCGGCUAACUUCGUG
This 492-nucleotide ribosomal RNA is filed under the name uncultured bacterium. Its description in RNAcentral is "partial 16S ribosomal RNA". It matches the Rfam family "Bacterial small subunit ribosomal RNA", at positions 29 to 507 of the family's 1533-position model. The record is from RNAcentral.